GCAAGUCGAACGCGAAAGUACCUUCGCGGUGCGAGUAGAGUGGCGAAAGGGCGAGCAAUGCGUUUCUAACGUGCCCCGAGGUCGAGGAUAGUCCAGGGAAACUUGGCUUAAUACUCGAUGACCCUGCGAGACCGUAUGGUUUUGCAGGCAAAGGUUUACUGCCUCGGGAUCGGGAAACGUGCUAUCGGUUUGUUGGUGGGGUAACGGCCUACCAAGACUAAGGCGGCUAGCGGGUGUGAGAGCAUGACCCGCCGCAUCGGGACUGAGACACUGCCCGGACUCCUACGGGAGGCUGCAGUAACGAAUAUUCCGCAAUGCGCGAAAGCGUGACGGAGCAAUGCCGCGUGUAGGAUGAAGCUUCUCGGAGUGUAAACUACUGUCAGGGUCUAGGAACAAAAUGACCAGACCCAGAGGAAGAGCCGGCUAACUCUGUGCCAGCAGCCGCGGUAACACAGAGGGCUCAAGCGUUAAUCGGAAUCACUGGGCUUAAAGGGUGCGCAGGCUGGCUUGAAAGUAUCGUGUGAAAUCCCACGGCUCAACCGUGGAACUGCACGGUAAACUUCAAGCCUUGAGGUCGGUAGGGGCUGCCGGAACUCUAGGUGGAGCGGUGAAAUGCGUAGAUAUCUAGAGGAACGCCAAAGACGAAGGUAGGCAGCUGGGCCGAUUCUGACGCUCAGGCACGAAAGCAUGGGUAGCGAACGGGAUUAGAUACCCCGGUAGUCCAUGCCCUAAACGAUGUGUACUAGAUCGAGAGGGCUCUGAUGCCAGCCCGGUUGAAGGAAAACUAUUAAGUACACCGCCUGGGGAGUACGGUCGCAAGAUUAAAACUCAAAGGAAUUGACGGGGGCUCACACAAGCGGUGGAGCAUGUGGC
Molecule: ribosomal RNA, 873 nt
Filed under: uncultured marine bacterium
Lineage: Bacteria
Description: bacterial SSU rRNA
Rfam family: Bacterial small subunit ribosomal RNA
Source: RNAcentral